AGGUGGUAGAGCGAAGAGAUUCAAUCGACUCUGCAGUAAUGCAGAGAGCCUGCACAGGUGCUGCAUGGCUGUCGUCAGCUCGUGUCGUGAGAUGUUGGGUUAAAGUCCCGCAACGAGCGCAACCCCAUUGCCAGUUGCUAACAGGAGAGCUGAGCACUCUGGCGAGACUGCCGCCGACAAGGCGGAGGAAGGUGGGGAUGACGUCAAGUCAUCAUGGCCUUUAUGCCCAGGGCUACACACGUGCUACAAUGGCCGGCACAGACGGCAGCUUAGUGGCGACACUUGGCAAAUCCUCUAAAGCCGGUCCCAGUUCGGAUUGCAGUCUGCAACUCGACUGCAUGAAGCCGGAAUCGCUAGUAAUCGCAGAUCAGCCAAGCUGCGGUGAAUACGUUCCCGGGCCUU
Molecule: ribosomal RNA, 402 nt
Filed under: uncultured Synergistaceae bacterium
Lineage: Bacteria; Thermotogati; Synergistota; Synergistia; Synergistales; Synergistaceae
Description: bacterial SSU rRNA
Rfam family: Bacterial small subunit ribosomal RNA
Source: RNAcentral